This 460-nucleotide ribosomal RNA is filed under the name uncultured bacterium. RNAcentral describes it as "partial 16S ribosomal RNA". It matches the Rfam family "Bacterial small subunit ribosomal RNA", at positions 338 to 795 of the family's 1533-position model. The record is from RNAcentral.
CCUACGGGAGGCAGCAGUGAGGAAUAUUGGUCAAUGGCCGGAAGGCUGAACCAGCCAUGCCGCGUGAAGGAAGAAGGAUCUAUGGUUUGUAAACUUCUUUUAUAGGGGAAUAAAGGUAUCCACGUGUGGAUAUUUGCAUGUACCCUAUGAAUAAGCAUCGGCUAACUCCGUGCCAGCAGCCGCGGUAAUACGGAGGAUGCGAGCGUUAUCCGGAUUUAUUGGGUUUAAAGGGUGCGUAGGUUGUUUUUUAAGUCAGCGGUGAAAGUUUGUGGCUCAACCAUAAAAUUGCCGUUGAAACUGGAAGACUUGAGUGUGUUUGAGGUAGGCGGAAUGCGUGGUGUAGCGGUGAAAUGCAUAGAUAUCACGCAGAACUCCGAUUGCGAAGGCAGCUUACUAAGCCAUAACUGACACUGAAGCACGAAAGCGUGGGGAGCAAACAGGAUUAGAUACCCCAGUAGUC